Molecule: ribosomal RNA, 890 nt
Filed under: archaeon enrichment culture clone AOM-SR-A40
Lineage: Archaea
Description: bacterial SSU rRNA
Rfam family: Archaeal small subunit ribosomal RNA
Source: RNAcentral
UUCCGGUUGAUCCUGCCGGAGGUCACUGCUAUUGGGAUUCGACUAAGCCAUGCGAGUCGAGAGGGUUCGGCCCUCGGCUGACGGCUCAGUAACACGUGGAUAAUCUGCCCUUAGGUGGAGGAUAAUCUCGGGAAACUGAGAAUAAUACUCCAUAGAUCUAGGAUGCUGGAAUGCAUCUAGAUUGAAAGCUCCGGCGCCUAAGGAUGAGUCUGCGGACUAUCAGGUUGUAGUCAGGGUAAAGACCUGACUAGCCUACGACGGAUACGGGUUGUGAGAGCAAUAACCCGGAGACGAUAUCUGAGACACGAUAUCGGGCCCUACGGGGCGCAGCAGGCGCGAAAACUUCACACUGUGCGAAAGCGCGAUGAGGGAAUCCCAAGUGUUUGCUCGUAAGAGUAAACUGUUUCUUUGUUUAAAACGCAGAGAGAGUAAGGGCUGGGUAAGACGGGUGCCAGCCGCCGCGGUAAUACCUGCAGCUCGAGUGGUGAUCAUUAUUAUUGGGCCUAAAACGUCCGUAGCCGGUUUAGUAAAUGCCUGGGUAAAUCGCGUAGCUUAACUAUACGACUUCCGGGUAGACUGCUAAACUUGAGACCGGGAGAGGCUAGAGGUACUCCUGGGGUAGAGGUGAAAUUCUGUAAUCCUAGGGGGACCACCAGUGGCGAAGGCGUCUAGCUAGAACGGGUCUGACGGUGAGGGACGAAGCCCUGGGGCACAAACCGGAUUAGAUACCCGGGUAGUCCAGGGUGUAAACGCUGCUUGCUUGAUGUUAGUUGGGCUCCGAGCCCAACUAGUGUCGGAGAGAAGUUGUUAAGCAAGCUGCCUGGGAAGUACGGUCGCAAGGCUGAAACUUAAAGGAGUUGGCGGGGGAGCACAGCAACGGGUGGAGCGUG